RNAcentral lists this long non-coding RNA (492 nucleotides) under Pan troglodytes (chimpanzee). RNAcentral describes it as "long non-coding RNA NONPTRT010865". The record is from RNAcentral. Lineage: Eukaryota; Metazoa; Chordata; Mammalia; Primates; Hominidae.
GAAUACUACAAAAGCAAAGUUAAAACAGGGAUAAAGAGCUAUGAAGAAUACAUAUAAAGCAAAUAUACCUAAUAAUUUAAGUUGUCCCUUUAUGUCAUUUGUCAUCUGGCUGCAUCUGCUCUUAAACCUGUGCACCUGUGCUCUGUUCCUGGAAAUAUUAGGCAUGCAGCCAAUUUCAUACCCAGCCAUUCCUAUGGUCAGACUCAGCUAUCAGUGCUUUUGUAUGUAUAUGUAUAUUAAAUCAAGUAUCAACCCCCGGGCUCUGAACUACUUCUGACUGACAGAACCAACAGAAAGUUCCAGGCUAAUUACUUCUAAGGAAUAGUUCCCAGAGAAAAGAGUUUCCACUGACCUACUUUGGACUUACUGAGAUAAUUUAUCAGAAUAAAAACAGCACAUUACCAGACAUCCUCGGCAUCUUCGUCACAUUCUGCACCAAACUGGCAAAUAUCACAGGUGGAUGUCUCCUUUUGACUAGUUUCUCCAGAGCCU